GGAGUCUGGACCGUGUCUCAGUUCCAAUGUGGCCGAUCACCCUCUCAGGUCGGCUACCGAUCGUCGCUUUGGUGGGCCGUUACCUCACCAACUGGCUAAUCGGACGCGAGCCCAUCUUCAACCGGAUUGCUCCUUUGACCCCUGUGCCAUGUGACACUGUGGUCUUACGCGGUAUUAGCACAUCUUUCGAUGCGUUAUCCCCCUGUUGAAGGCAGGUUGCUCACGCGUUACUCACCCGUCCGCCGCUCGGAUACAAUCUUCCAAUCCGAAGACCUUCCAAUCGUAUCCUCGCACGACUUGCAUGUGUUAAGCACGCCGCCAGCGUUCGUCCUCGUAGCCACGGAGUCAAACUCU
RNAcentral lists this ribosomal RNA (354 nucleotides) under uncultured Eubacteriales bacterium. Its description in RNAcentral is "uncultured Clostridiales bacterium partial 16S ribosomal RNA". The record is from RNAcentral. Lineage: Bacteria; Bacillati; Bacillota; Clostridia; Eubacteriales.